Molecule: long non-coding RNA, 3111 nt
Organism: Triticum dicoccoides
Lineage: Eukaryota; Viridiplantae; Streptophyta; Magnoliopsida; Poales; Poaceae
Exons: 6
Source: RefSeq, a predicted model, not a curated record
GUUCUGCGUGCUACACACCCAAUCUCGCUCGCACACCAGGCGCCGCACAACCCUAGCUCCCACUUUCCCCUCGAUCCACUGCCCCUCCCUCCUCUCCGCUCGUCACCAGGGCCUCGCUGCCGCCUACUCCUCCUCCACCACCAUUGCUGCUUCCCCACCUCGACUUCCCUCUCUCCGUUGUUUAUCCGGUCGUCAGCGGCGCCUGGUUCCGGAUCUGGCGCAACCAUCAGGAAGGUGCAAGAUGGUUCCACCAAUCCACUCCUCUCGCGGCGCGCACUGGCGCACACGACGUGCGUGAUGGGCACCCGCACGAAUCUCAUUCCCCAAUCCACAGCCGCUGCACCCUCCCUCCUCUUCCCCCAAUCCCUCGCCGACACAGCCACCGCGACCCUCCCCUCCUCCUCCAUCCGUCCUCCUCGGCCAUCGAUAGUGCUUGGUUCGAGAUCUCCCGAUGGUUAGGCGAGCCCGGUGGUGGGGUGAAGGAGCAGGCGAGGCGGGCGACGAGGGGAAACAAUGGAAGAGGGAGGAGGUCGGCAACAGGGUGAAGGAGCAGGCCGCCCAUCUUGGAGGUUGCGCCGCCGGCUAGGUACCAUUCACCGUCCCCGGUUAGGGGCUAUUCGCUGUCGCUGGCCUCACUCGCCACCAAUUUUGCCAUGGAGAUGAUACGAGAACUUCUGUCGCCAGCCAAUCGAGCCCCAUCUCCAGUGCGCGACCCAAGGAGGACUUUGCGUCGCCGUCUGCCUGCGCUGGUUCGUUCCCUGGACGAAUGACACCAGCCAAGGGAGUGAGUCCAGUGACAUCCUGAUCAUUCAGUCAUUGAGGAUUUGAAAAGAGGCAUCAAGGCAGCAAAUGGGGUAGUAUUUUGAUCUCAUUUUGUGUGAUGCAUUUAUAAAUGGGGCAGUAUUUUGAUCUCAUUUCCACUGACGCAUUUAUUAUUUGUUGUCUUCAUUACAGACCACCAAGUUCGGGUUGCUUUUCUUAUAUCAUUAUUUUGUAGUCUGCUUCACCGUGAACUUGAAUGAAGACCCAGAUUGUUAUCUAAUUUGUGAAAGUCAUUGAGCUGCUGCUACGCGCACUAGAAGAUUGUGUUGGUAGGAUUUUGUACUAUUUGUUGAGUUCUUCCAUUGUCUAGCUGAUUCAGAAUUUGGGUCAGGCCAGUGGACAAAAUAUGCUUAUUUGCAUGGUUACUAGUGUAUGUCGGUCAUGCAUCUGAAGCCACUUACUUUUCAGGAUUUUUAGGAUGGCGGCUAAGCUUCUCUUUAAUGUUGCUUUCUCUGAAAUAUUUUUUAGUACAGUUGGUGAUUCUGUUUCUGCCUGAUGACUUGUUGUAUUAUUGUUCCAGUUUCCAGAAUAAGCUAAUGGAAACUGUAUUUGGGUAGACAUGAUUUCAGGUCUGAUUGCAACCAUUUUAUUCUUCUGUUUUCCAUAUUUAGAAAUCUAGCCUCUAUUCCAAUUAUUACGACAAUUCAGCUUUUGAAGUGUAUUUCUUCUACAGGAAAGUUUCAUCUAUACCUUAAGAUAAAAAGUACCUGAUGAUGAACCAUACCAUAGCAAUCUUCAGUUAUAAAAAUUGGCUAUGUUAUCUAGAAUUUUUAUAUUUUUCUUUACUGUGAACAUUUGUGAACCUUUGCUGGACUGCUUGCCCUGGAUAAAUAGUAGGGCAUGAUAAUUGGUAAAUAUAGGAGCUGCAUAGGAAAAUUGACUGCCACAAAAAGAGUUAUAUUGGCAAUGGUUUCUGCAUUUAGUAUAAAAUAUUUUAGUUGAAAGAUUGCUUCAAAUCUAAAGUCAGAAGUGGCAAGUAUGUUGUCAUCACGGCACCACAUAGGUACAUAUGAUCAGCCAAACAUAGGCACAUAGGAUUACUACUCAGUUUUUCUGCAUAUGCAUCUAGCAGCAACUCUUUUGUGUUCUCGUCUUAAAUUUCCUAUUCAAGUAGUUCAAGCAAAUGGUUUCAAGUGGUGUGAAGGCUCCCAGUCAAUGUUUGGUUUACAAAUUUAAGAAUUAGCAUCGGUAGUUUAGAUGAGCACCAUGUGUACAUACUCAUCUCCCUGUUGUCUAUAUUACAUUGUUUCAAAUUUGAAAGUGCUUUAGGUAAUUCUUGGGUGCCUUGUGGAACGUUUCAAUUUCAGGCAUCAUUCCUAAAUUGUUUGGCGUCCAUGAAUUUCUCGAUGAGGUUGUUAUGCACCACACUGCAUCAUGUAGGAUUUUGGCGCUCGUGAUCUUUCUUGCUUAGGUGACCUGCCCCAAUCCUUCUUCCCCUCCCCAAUCAGGUUGUUUUGCGUAUACCCCUUUGCUACUAUGUGGUAUUUCAUUGAAGCUGACAUCGCAAGAGGAAACAGAGGAUAUAUUCGUGAUCAGCGCAUUGGUGUCUAAGGCUGCUUCCUGUAGUUUUUGUCACUGCGCCGACAAGUGAGAUAACAAACAUGGAUAUAUCAGUGUAGAUAAUUGUAUCUUUAUUUUCCGAUUAAUUUAAGUAAAAAAUAUCAAGAAUGAUGUUCGGAAAGCUAUGCUGGACCAGAUAGGACUGGCUCGUGAGACUUGGAAUGAAAGAUACCCGGGGCUCCUGGUGUAUGUGGGACAAUCAAGAACAAAAGUCUUUGCGUAUCUGAAGGAUAGAAUUUGGCAACGUAUACAAUGGUGGAAGGAAAAGAUGCUAAGCAAGGCAGCGAAGGAGAUUCUGAUAAUGGCUUGCGCCCAGGCCAUACCCACUUUUGCCAUGUCAGUUUUGACCUUACAAAGGGGCUAUGUGAAAAUCCAUUUUUUUAUAUGUCUCUGCGCCAUUUGGUGCACCGGGAGCUGGUCUUAUCUUUUGACGACCCAAAUAUCGGAUGGAGUCGAUUCAAGCACCACAUGCUGGAAAUACUGCACCAUAGUGACAUAAGGGGCAUCACAUUCAGGAAACCUAAUGAUUCCAUAUACACCUUCCAAUGCCUGAUUGCAUGUGCCAACAAGAUGGAAUAUGAUCUAGGCAUUAGCAUACAUAACUGAGGGAUGCAUAUCCUCUGCCUUUGUGCAACAAAGGCACCAAAGGCAUGGCAUUGUUGGCUGCAUGAUCAGGAUUUGAUGGUCAUGAUGUAAACUGGAGUGAAAUAAAGCAUUUGGUGCUUCUCA